UCAGGCCUAACACAUGCAAGUCGAGCGCGCCUUUCGGGGUGAGCGGCGGACGGGUUAGUAACGCGUGGGAAUAUGCCCUUUGGUACGGAAUAGCCUCUGGAAACGGAGAGUAAUACCGUAUGAGCCCUUCGGGGGAAAGAUUUAUCGCCAAAGGAUUAGCCCGCGUUAGAUUAGGUAGUUGGUGGGGUAAUGGCCUACCAAGCCUACGAUCUAUAGCUGGUUUUAGAGGAUGAUCAGCAACACUGGGACUGAGACACGGCCCAGACUCCUACGGGAGGCAGCAGUGGGGAAUCUUGGACAAUGGGGGCAACCCUGAUCCAGCCAUGCCGCGUGAGUGAUGAAGGCCUUAGGGUCGUAAAGCUCUUUCGCCUGUGAAGAUAAUGACGGUAGCAGGUAAAGAAACCCCGGCUAACUCCGUGCCAGCAGCCGCGGUAAUACGGAGGGGGUUAGCGUUGUUCGGAAUUACUGGGCGUAAAGCGCACGUAGGCGGAUCGGAAAGUUGGGGGUGAAAUCCCGGGGCUCAACCCCGGAACUGCCUCCAAAACUAUCGGUCUAGAGUUCGAGAGAGGUGAGUGGAAUUCCGAGUGUAGAGGUGAAAUUCGUAGAUAUUCGGAGGAACACCAGUGGCGAAGGCGGCUCACUGGCUCGAUACUGACGCUGAGGUGCGAAAGUGUGGGGAGCAAACAGGAUUAGAUACCCU
Molecule: ribosomal RNA, 700 nt
Filed under: uncultured bacterium
Lineage: Bacteria
Description: bacterial SSU rRNA
Rfam family: Bacterial small subunit ribosomal RNA
Source: RNAcentral